GAUGAAUGCUGGCGGCGUGCCUAACACAUGCAAGUCGAGCGGCAGCGCGGGGUGCUUGCACCCUGUCGGCGAGCGGCGAACGGCUGAGUAACGCGUAGGAAUUUGCCCCAAAGUGAGGAAUAACUGCCCGAAAGGGUAGCUAAUGCCGCAUAUGGUCUUCGGAUUAAAGGAUUUAUCCGCUUUGGGAGAAGCCUGCGUUGGAUUAGGUUGUUGGUAGGGUAAUGGCCUACCAAGCCGACGAUCCAUAGCUGGUCUGAGAGGAUGAUCAGCCAGACUGGAACUGAGACACGGUCCAGACUCCUACGGGAGGCAGCAGUGAGGAAUCUUCCACAAUGGGCGAAAGCCUGAUGGAGCAACGCCGCGUGAAGGAUGAAGGCCUUCGGGUUGUAAACUUCUUUUAGGAGUGAAGAAUAUGACGGUAACUCAGGAAUAAGCACCGGCGAACUACGU
RNAcentral lists this ribosomal RNA (450 nucleotides) under uncultured bacterium. RNAcentral's name for it is "partial 16S ribosomal RNA". It matches the Rfam family "Bacterial small subunit ribosomal RNA", at positions 28 to 506 of the family's 1533-position model. The record is from RNAcentral.